RNAcentral lists this ribosomal RNA (252 nucleotides) under uncultured bacterium. RNAcentral's name for it is "partial 16S ribosomal RNA". It matches the Rfam family "Bacterial small subunit ribosomal RNA", at positions 524 to 775 of the family's 1533-position model. The record is from RNAcentral.
UACAUGUGGGGCAAGCGUUGUUCGGAAUCACUGGGCAUAAAGGGUGCGUAGGCGGCUUGUUAAGUCAGGGGUGAAAGUUUUCGGCCCAACCGGAAAAUGGCCUUUGAUACUGGCGAGCUUGAGUGCGUGAGGGGUGACUGGAACGAGUGGUGUAGCGGUGAAAUGCGUAGAUAUCACUCGGAAGGCCAACGGCGAAGGCAAGUCACUGGUACGCAACUGACGCUGAGGCACGAAAGCGUGGGGAGCAAACAG